Long non-coding RNA from Lemur catta (Ring-tailed lemur), 5584 nucleotides. RefSeq lists it as uncharacterized. Lineage: Eukaryota; Metazoa; Chordata; Mammalia; Primates; Lemuridae. The record is from RefSeq and is a predicted model, not a curated record. The transcript has 2 exons.
UUUUCCAGAAAAGUGCUAUUUUUUCUGAAAUAGCACUAUUUGUGCAAUUUUUUCAGUGGGCCCUUUUGUAAUACAGUGAGGCUAUCCAGAUGCAGAGAUGACUAAGGUAGUGAACAGCUUCUCUGAACAAUCGGAGGGGUCACCUCAUCAUCUCUAAGCAGUUGCCCACGGUCAGGCUGUUGCUUGGAUUAACUACAAAAGAAAGGCUCUUCUCACUGAGUGGUAUUUACGUAUUUGAUGAGAGCUUUUCCACCUCAUGACGCUAACACUCAUUCAAAACCAGAGUUCAGUGCUGCUGUAAAAGCUCGCUGCCUGCUCACACGUGGCGUGCGGGCCAAGGGGGCAAGGACACCAGUUGCUCUUUUUUCACCACCUUUAACGAGUUCCUAUCUGAUGGUUUAGAAGUAGACAGCAAGGCAAGGAAAAUGAUUACUGCUUUCAGAAAGGUCCGGCACUUCCUGUAACGAGAUCCAGUCUCUGGUGUGGGGAGGCAGGCAGGGAGGAAGGAGGAGACCUCUGACCCAGGAGUCAGGAGUCCCAGGUGAGCCACACCCUUGCUAGGUCUCAGCUUCUCCAUCUAUAAGGUGAAGAGUUUAACAACACGAUUCCCAAAGCUCCCUGGCUGUAGGAGCACUGACGAGCAGUUUGCCGGGGGAGGGGGGGGGGGAUCUACGUUUUGCAGAUGGCCGUGACAUGGGCGAGCAGGCUGCGGGCUUGGGGAGGCAGAGUUAUUUGACUUGUAACAUGUAAUAACAGCCUGUGAGAUCUGGCACUCCUGUGUCGCUGAGAAUGAAGAUCUAAAUGAUUGAAGUUUUAAGUCCAGGUAGGAGUUAGUUUGUUUUGCCUUGUUUAAAAACUGCUGUUAGUCACAGAGUUUUCGAUCUCUGGAUACCUUCAAAUCCCACCUCUCAGUGUGGGAUUCUUGAUCUCAAAGGUAUUUAUUUUUUCAUUCAGCAUAGGCCUGCAACACCUACUACUCCUCCUUCAAUCAGCUUUGCCCAAAACAGAUUUUGGAAUUAUUGGUAUUAACCUAAGUCCGGUGGAAUUAGAAAGAUAAUUCAGCAGCAAAAGAAAUAUAAAUUAUAUUCCAUACCCAGAGAGAAAAUGCCCUUUGGAUUGCAUAGUCCCUCUGUUUGAUGAGUGUUUUUUCUUCCUACCAAUAACCAGGUAAAUCAGGAUUUGACUCAAAUGCAGGCACAGGCAGGGCCUGGUCAUAGCUGCCCCACAGGGUGCUGUAUGGAUGAUAAGGGGCCCCAGAGGCCAACCUGAGGCCUGUGGAUCUGACCCCAAGGAGGUCCUGCUGCAAAUCCUAUGAGCUUAUGACAUUCUCUACUUACCAAAGGUUUAUUUCUAGAGAUUUCCCGGUGGCUUUGAUAGUUUUUUAAAAAGUUUAAUCAGAAAGUUUUCAUUUCAAAAGAAAGAGAAACAGCCCUUCCCCAUAGCCUGCUUCAUCACCUCCCCCCAAAAGAGACUCUGACCUGGAGACCCAGUGGUCCACAGACGAGUGUCAGGGGUGUGUGAACCCUCUAGACGCUGAUGCAGACUGAAUGUGCAUUUGCAGAUGUGCGUUUUUCUCAAGCGAGGCUCUAGACCAGCACUGUCCAGUGGAGAUAUAAUGCAAGUCACAUACUGAAUUUUCUACUAGCCACAUUUUUAAAAAAUAAAAAGAAACAGCACGUCCGGAUCGACAUGAGCCACAUCUCAUGCACUCAGUAGCCAUAUGUGGCUAGCGGCCCCCGAGUGGACAGUGCAGAUCUAGAGCUUCUCCAGUAACCUCACGAGAUUCCCUGACCCUUACAAAAGAAAAAGGUUGAAACCUUAAUUACCUCCAGAGAGCACCAGACACCACCCAAGUCGCCUAACGAAAGACCCAGAGAUCUGUUUAUUUUAUAGUGAAUAAAGUUUCAGGCAGCCCUUAUCAUUUACUCUUACUUCUCUGACCAGUUGUUUUUUAAAAAGUGACACAAACCUUGUCAAUUUGGUGCUGAAACAAAAUUAUAUCCCUCAUUUCUAUGACAAACCCUUAGGCUAAUAUAUGGCACUUAGGAGCCAGAGAGAAUUCCAGACUAAGUCAUCCAACUUUGCUUCAACUCUUUCUUGUCUGUGGCCAGCUAAAGGUCCUUUCCCAGUCCCAGUGUCUGCUGUCCCCACAGCUGUAGCUAAAACUUAAGGAUUUUGGAAGAAAGAGUGAGAAAUUACAUAUUGAUUCCAAAUACAAGACUUCAUGUGGCCUUACUGAGAAAAAAUCUUUGGGGCUUAUGGCUGUCCAGCCCCUAGGUGGUGAGUUCUGACCACCUCCAACAGCCAGCUUUCUACUCAAAGUGAGCAGCCACCGACCACCCCAAGGCUGUGGGGAAGAAAAGGAGCAUUUGCAUUCACUCAGAAUAAUUUAGGGUCCCCUUUAGGAAUUGCUACCUCCUGUGUGUCUAGUCCCUUUGGAAGAGCUGAACCCUGAUCAUGAAUCCAGCAUCUGAACGUUGACUUAUGCUCUAGGGUCGGGUCACCCCCUGGAAUGUAAACUCUGGUCAUCUAUGCAGGGAGAGGGAGAGAAGCAGGAGAAGGUAAAAAGUUGAAAGUGACAAAGGUACCUACCCAUUUUGACAUCACAGGGGAAUGAUCAUAACCAUGGAGGCAAAUCCCUGUCCAAAGAGGUUUUUUUUUUUUUAUUUGUUUUGCUUUGUUUUUAGCAUUUACCUUCAUCCUGGUGAGAUAUCCUGGACAUUCAUGGGCCUGGGUUUGGUCAUAUCAAAAAUCACGGUGCCCAGUGGCCAUUUCUGUCACUGCCCUGACAGCUCUGUGGCUACCAUACUUUCAGAACCAAAAAUGAUGACAGGUAGUCUAACCUGGGACUCUUUCUUAUUUAUGAGUUGUUUAAACGGAAAUUUUUACAGAACAUAAAAAUUCAGUGGUUAUCCAUUGAAUGCAUCAGCUUGACUGAAAACAAAUCUCAUUGAAUCAAAACUUUUUCAGAAAAUCUGGGAUAGGGAGUCACUCCCUCUAGGAGCAGGGGCCCAGCCCUCUGUGGUACUGGGACCACUGAGGCAAUUUCCAGGAGCAUUUUUAUGGAUUCUCUCACUUAGAUUCCUUUCUCUUUUAUGUCUGUGUCUCUCCAACUCUAUUUUCUUCUGCCUGUCUGUCUGUCUUUGUGUACACACACAAAUUCUUUUCCUAUUUUCUCCCUCGUCCUCUUCUCUUUUCUUCCUCUUUCUUUUUAUUCUAGUCUUGCAAGAAACUCUGAAAUAACCUUCAGGACAAAAAUCAUUGGUGGCUCUGUAUUUUUAGGGUUAUUAUUGUGAUUACUGUUGUUAGUGUCUUUCUUCUUUUUAUUGUGUGGCAAAAUCUAUGUUUUUACUUACGAUGAGGAAAACUAGUUUACUCUAAAGGCCAAUUAAGUUCCUCCCUAAUGGAGUCAGCCUCAGUUUCACUUCUUAUAUCACAAAUUGCAUCUCAAACCACCCACAGCUGUUGCCUUUUAUUUCAGGCUUCCUUGCCAUAAAAGUCUCCUAGGCAAAUAAUGGCAAGGUAACAAUUCCAGAAUGCUGGCGAGAUCUAUUUUCCUCCACGCCCAACAUUUAUAACCUUCCUCAUUCACCACAUGUCCCCAGGGUUAGGACUUCUUAGAAAAACUUGUAUUACUGUAUCUGAUGUCCACUCAUGCUUCUUAAUAUCUUCACACAAGAGCUUGCUCAUUGUACAUGACCCAAGGGCCACUAAUUCCUAAAGACUCACAAAGAGGUACAAAGAGACUACCCUACUAAGGUGGAGGAUACACAGUUCCUUGUGCCCUGCUCUGUGCCACCGAGGUCCCUCGGGGACGUUAUCCUGUAGGAAGUCAGAAAAGAGGAUGGCAGGAUCUCUGGUCAGAGCAGGGGUGGAAAGCUUCUGUGAUUAAUAGAACAUAAAUGCUUCCCCUAAAUAAAUGUUCAUCCUAGGUUUAGAGUUGACCUGGGUUUGGGGGUGUAUGUGUUUGUGCGGGUAUGUUUAAAGAAUUAAAUACUCAUGAGGUAAAACACUCAUGAUUACAAAGAAGGUUGGGAUUGCCUGAAAAAUAAAUUAAGAGAACCAGCUGUGAGUUUCUCAUCAUCACUUAGCUCUUCCCUUUCCCUGCUUUUCUCCCCAUCUCACAACCUCAGACCCUUUGUCAUAGGAACAUUAAUUUUUAAAGACCCAUAGAUCAAUAGCCACACUCUUCCACUUUGAGCCUUUUAAUGGCACUAAAUUAUUAUCCUAGAACUCAUGAAGUGAGUUCAGCUCCUAGAAGUGGACCUUUAAUACCAAGUCCUUUAAUUGCAAAACCUGCUUCUACAAGAACCUGCUGAGGUCAGUAACAUCUCUGUUUACAUGUCUCGAGUGCUUCAUAAUCAAGUGGCUUUUCCAGGAAUCUCAGAGAUCAAAGAUUUUCUAAUGCUGUGCUACUAUUGACAUUUGCACUUACUGCAGAGCCAUUUGCUCUGUGGCCACCUGAUAAAUAUUUGUUGAUGGUGAUGAUAAGGCAGGAACAUAUACAUCUCUUAAGAGAUCUGCGGGUCUGAACACAGUGAGGGAGAAAAUCCAUGGAGUGGGGUAGCUCAACCUGAAUUACCCAAAGUCCUUGCUUGGCAGAAUAUCUGUGGUCUGUUAUCCUUACUGAAGUGAUGGGCUUGGAGAAGCAGGGAAAAUGUGGGGACCAUGUGUGCUAUAUAAACCAAAGACCGAUCGAUCACCUUCCAAAUGGACACAUGUUUCUUCCAUUGACUAGUUGAAUCUUCUCCUAAUGUUCUCAUAAAUAAAAGUGAAGGUGGGUUGCAUGGUUGAAUGAAACCAUGAAACCUUAGGAGGUUUUCUCUUGCAGGCUGUUGAUUGACUUUACUAAAUCCAGAAAUCUAAAAAAAAAAAAAAAAAGUAUGGCCUUAGUACCACAUCAUCUUUAAAAUUUAGCGUUUAGUCCCCUUUUCCUUAAAAAGUUUCAGACAAAUCUAGCGCUUUAUUGAACUCAGAAUAUUGUUCUCUUCGAGAAUGUGAAGAUUUUAAAUAGCCAAAGAAUUUUCAUGUAUAAGAGCUAGCUAAUUAUAGUAUAUCCUGCUCUUCUGAAGACAAUACCAAACUGUUGCCUGUACUGAUAGUUAGUAGAGCAGUUGAAGAACUAGCACGUGGACUUUGUAGUCUGUUGGCAUCUGUGGUGCUGACUGUCCAGUAGGAUGCUAUUGCAAGGAGCAGAGUGCCCUCUGCUGGAAUAAUCACAGUUAUUCUUUCAGCAAAUUAAUUUGACUUGGGUCACCAUUUCCUCAACAACUAUACUUAGUUAUUUGCCUUUUGUCCUACAAAUUCUUCAGUAGUUGAGAAUUUGGUCUACAUUUAUCACAUGAGGAAAGAAUGUCACAAACUGAAAAAUUGAAGGAGACCCCACAGAAGAUCUUCUGUCAGCAGCCCUUCUGCAAAAUGUUCAAGCAUAAUGUCGCUCUGUUUGCAAAGAAGAUGCCUCUGGUUGGAAUGUUUGUGCAGAGUUCUAAGCAAGGGACUGCUUGUUUUGUAACUUGUUUCCACUUUAUUCUUGUGAAAUUGCAAAGGAAGAUCAAUAAAAGGACUUCUUUCAUAUGAAUGUAAA